GUUGAGAAGCCAAGGAAAAUUGCAGCCAAUGAAGAGGCAAUUCACAAUUCAUUCACUUCAAAAGAAGCUGGAAAAAUGGUGCUUUCUGUAGACAAUACUGCCUCUCGAAAGAGAAAAGUUGCAGCCUAUCGAUACAUUGUCCGCAAAUCUGCAACUAUUUCAGCCUAAAAUGAAGCAAAUCUAUGUUUUUUUUAACUCACUUUAUCUAGGAGUACUUGUUUUUACAUUUUUGUUGAUGAAUGUUUGGGCAAGUUAGUAGUAAUAUUUUAUGUGAGCCCUAGUAUGAUGAUAUGAAUGUAUAAAUGGU
This 307-nucleotide unclassified non-coding RNA is filed under the name Hevea brasiliensis (rubber tree). Lineage: Eukaryota; Viridiplantae; Streptophyta; Magnoliopsida; Malpighiales; Euphorbiaceae. The record is from RNAcentral.